GAAUCCAUAGGUUAAUGAGGCGAACCGGGGGAACUGAAACAUCUAAGUACCCCGAGGAAAAGAAAUCAACCGAGAUUCCCCCAGUAGCGGCGAGCGAACGGGGAGCAGCCCAGAGCCUGAAUCAGUGUGUGUGUUAGUGGAAGCGUCUGGAAAGGCGCGCGAUACAGGGUGACAGCCCCGUACACAAAAAUGCACAUGCUGUGAGCUCGAUGAGUAGGGCGGGACACGUGGUAUCCUGUCUGAAUAUGGGGGGACCAUCCUCCAAGGCUAAAUACUCCUGACUGACCGAUAGUGAACCAGUACCGUGAGGGAAAGGCGAAAAGAACCCCGGCGAGGGGAGUGAAAAAGAACCUGAAACCGUGUACGUACAAGCAGUGGGAGCACGCUUAGGCGUGUGACUGCGUACCUUUUGUAUAAUGGGUCAGCGACUUAUAUUCUGUAGCAAGGUUAACCGAAUAGGGGAGCCGAAGGGAAACCGAGUCUUAACUGGGCGUUAAGUUGCAGGGUAUAGACCCGAAACCCGGUGAUCUAGCCAUGGGCAGGUUGAAGGUUGGGUAACACUAACUGGAGGACCGAACCGACUAAUGUUGAAAAAUUAGCGGAUGACUUGUGGCUGGGGGUGAAAGGCCAAUCAAACCGGGAGAUAGCUGGUUCUCCCCGAAAGCUAUUUAGGUAGCGCCUCGUGAAUUCAUCUCCGGGGGUAGAGCACUGUUUCGGCAAGGGGGUCAUCCCGACUUACCAACCCGAUGCAAACUGCGAAUACCGGAGAAUGUUAUCACGGGAGACACACGGCGGGUGCUAACGUCCGUCGUGAAGAGGGAAACAACCCAGACCGCCAGCUAAGGUCCCAAAGUCAUGGUUAAGUGGGAAACGAUGUGGGAAGGCCCAGACAGCCAGGAUGUUGGCUUAGAAGCAGCCAUCAUUUAAAGAAAGCGUAAUAGCUCACUGGUCGAGUCGGCCUGCGCGGAAGAUGUAACGGGGCUAAACCAUGCACCGAAGCUGCGGCAGCGACGCUUAUGCGUUGUUGGGUAGGGGAGCGUUCUGUAAGCCUGUGAAGGUGUGCUGUGAGGCAUGCUGGAGGUAUCAGAAGUGCGAAUGCUGACAUAAGUAACGAUAAAGCGGGUGAAAAGCCCGCUCGCCGGAAGACCAAGGGUUCCUGUCCAACGUUAAUCGGGGCAGGGUGAGUCGACCCCUAAGGCGAGGCCGAAAGGCGUAGUCGAUGGGAAACAGGUUAAUAUUCCUGUACUUGGUGUUACUGCGAAGGGGGGACGGAGAAGGCUAUGUUGGCCGGGCGACGGUUGUCCCGGUUUAAGCGUGUAGGCUGGUUUUCCAGGCAAAUCCGGAAAAUCAAGGCUGAGGCGUGAUGACGAGGCACUACGGUGCUGAAGCAACAAAUGCCCUGCUUCCAGGAAAAGCCUCUAAGCAUCAGGUAACAUCAAAUCGUACCCCAAACCGACACAGGUGGUCAGGUAGAGAAUACCAAGGCGCUUGAGAGAACUCGGGUGAAGGAACUAGGCAAAAUGGUGCCGUAACUUCGGGAGAAGGCACGCUGAUAUGUAGGUGAAGUCCCUCGCGGAUGGAGCUGAAAUCAGUCGAAGAUACCAGCUGGCUGCAACUGUUUAUUAAAAACACAGCACUGUGCAAACACGAAAGUGGACGUAUACGGUGUGACGCCUGCCCGGUGCCGGAAGGUUAAUUGAUGGGGUUAGCGCAAGCGAAGCUCUUGAUCGAAGCCCCGGUAAACGGCGGCCGUAACUAUAACGGUCCUAAGGUAGCGAAAUUCCUUGUCGGGUAAGUUCCGACCUGCACGAAUGGCGUAAUGAUGGCCAGGCUGUCUCCACCCGAGACUCAGUGAAAUUGAACUCGCUGUGAAGAUGCAGUGUACCCGCGGCAAGACGGAAAGACCCCGUGAACCUUUACUAUAGCUUGACACUGAACAUUGAGCCUUGAUGUGUAGGAUAGGUGGGAGGCUUUGAAGUGUGGACGCCAGUCUGCAUGGAGCCGACCUUGAAAUACCACCCUUUAAUGUUUGAUGUUCUAACGUUGACCCGUAAUCCGGGUUGCGGACAGUGUCUGGUGGGUAGUUUGACUGGGGCGGUCUCCUCCUAAAGAGUAACGGAGGAGCACGAAGGUUGGCUAAUCCUGGUCGGACAUCAGGAGGUUAGUGCAAUGGCAUAAGCCAGCUUGACUGCGAGCGUGACGGCGCGAGCAGGUGCGAAAGCAGGUCAUAGUGAUCCGGUGGUUCUGAAUGGAAGGGCCAUCGCUCAACGGAUAAAAGGUACUCCGGGGAUAACAGGCUGAUACCGCCCAAGAGUUCAUAUCGACGGCGGUGUUUGGCACCUCGAUGUCGGCUCAUCACAUCCUGGGGCUGAAGUAGGUCCCAAGGGUAUGGCUGUUCGCCAUUUAAAGUGGUACGCGAGCUGGGUUUAGAACGUCGUGAGACAGUUCGGUCCCUAUCUGCCGUGGGCGCUGGAGAACUGAGGGGGGCUGCUCCUAGUACGAGAGGACCGGAGUGGACGCAUCACUGGUGUUCGGGUUGUCAUGCCAAUGGCACUGCCCGGUAGCUAAAUGCGGAAGAGAUAAGUGCUGAAAGCAUCUAAGCACGAAACUUGCCCCGAGAUGAGUUCUCCCUGACUCCUUGAGAGUCCUGAAGGAACGUUGAAGACGACGACGUUGAUAGGCCGGGUGUGUAAGCGCAGCGAUGCGUUGAGCUAACCGGUACUAAUGAACCGUGAGGCUUAACCUU
RNAcentral lists this ribosomal RNA (2746 nucleotides) under Escherichia coli O104:H4 str. 11-02092. Its description in RNAcentral is "bacterial LSU rRNA". It matches the Rfam family "Bacterial large subunit ribosomal RNA". The record is from RNAcentral. Lineage: Bacteria; Pseudomonadati; Pseudomonadota; Gammaproteobacteria; Enterobacterales; Enterobacteriaceae.